Molecule: ribosomal RNA, 253 nt
Filed under: uncultured bacterium
Lineage: Bacteria
Description: partial 16S ribosomal RNA
Rfam family: Bacterial small subunit ribosomal RNA
Source: RNAcentral
UACGGAGGGUGCUAGCGUUGUUCGGAAUCACUGGGCGUAAAGCGCGUGUAGGCGGCCCAUCAAGUCUGAUGUGAAAGCCCGGGGCUCACCCCCGGAAGUGCAUUGGAAACUGUUGGGCUCGAGUCCCGGAGAGGAGGGUGGAAUUCCUGGUGUAGCGGUGAAAUGCGUAGAUAUCAGGAGGAACACCGGUGGCGAAGGCGGCCCUCUGGACAGUUACUGACGCUGAGGCACGAAGGCCAGGGGAGCAAACGGG